RNAcentral lists this ribosomal RNA (449 nucleotides) under uncultured bacterium. RNAcentral's name for it is "SSU rRNA". It matches the Rfam family "Bacterial small subunit ribosomal RNA", at positions 26 to 518 of the family's 1533-position model. The record is from RNAcentral.
AGGAUGAACGCUGGCGGUAUGCUUAACACACGCAAGUCGAACGGAACCAGAAAUGGUUUAGUGGCGGACGGGUGAGUAACGCGUGAGAAUCUGGCUUCAGGUUCGGGACAACCACUGGAAACGGUGGCUAAUACCGGAUGUGCCGAAAGGUGAAAGAUUAAUUGCCUGAAGAUGAGCUCGCGUCUGAUUAGCUAGUUGGUGGGGUAAAGGCUUACCAAGGCGGCGAUCAGUAACUGGUCUGAGAGGAUGACCAGUCACACUGGGACUGAGACACGGCCCAGACUCCUACGGGAGGCAGCAGUGGGGAAUUUCCGCAAUGGGCGAAAGCCUGACGGAGCAAUACCGCGUGAGGGAAGAAGGCUCUUGGGUCGUAAACCUCUUUUCUCAGGGAAGAACAAAAUGACGGUACCUGAGGAAUAAGCAUCGGCUAACUCCGUGCCAGCAGCCGC